This 957-nucleotide ribosomal RNA is filed under the name Salmonella enterica subsp. enterica serovar Typhimurium. RNAcentral's name for it is "partial 23S ribosomal RNA". It matches the Rfam family "Bacterial large subunit ribosomal RNA", at positions 1084 to 2023 of the family's 2925-position model. Lineage: Bacteria; Pseudomonadati; Pseudomonadota; Gammaproteobacteria; Enterobacterales; Enterobacteriaceae. The record is from RNAcentral.
CCCAGACAGCCAGGAUGUUGGCUUAGAAGCAGCCAUCAUUUAAAGAAAGCGUAAUAGCUCACUGGUCGAGUCGGCCUGCGCGGAAGAUGUAACGGGGCUAAACCAUGCACCGAAGCUGCGGCAGCGACGCUGAUGCGUUGUUGGGUAGGGGAGCGUUCUGUAAGCCCGUGAAGGUGGCCUGUGAGGGUUGCUGGAGGUAUCAGAAGUGCGAAUGCUGACAUAAGUAACGAUAAAGCGGGUGAAAAGCCCGCUCGCCGGAAGACCAAGGGUUCCUGUCCAACGUUAAUCGGGGCAGGGUGAGUCGACCCCUAAGGCGAGGCCGAAAGGCGUAGUCGAUGGGAAACGGGUUAAUAUUCCCGUACUUGGUGUUACUGCGAAGGGGGGACGGAGAAGGCUAUGUUGGCCGGGCGACGGUUGUCCCGGUUUAAGCGUGUAGGUGUGUGUUCCAGGUAAAUCCGGUUCACUUUAACACUGAGGCGUGACGACGAGGCACUACGGUGCUGAAGCAACAAAUGCCCUGCUUCCAGGAAAAGCCUCUAAGCAUCAGGUAACACGAAAUCGUACCCCAAACCGACACAGGUGGUCAGGUAGAGAAUACCAAGGCGCUUGAGAGAACUCGGGUGAAGGAACUAGGCAAAAUGGUGCCGUAACUUCGGGAGAAGGCACGCUGACACGUAGGUGAAGUGAUUUACUCAUGGAGCUGAAGUCAGUCGAAGAUACCAGCUGGCUGCAACUGUUUAUUAAAAACACAGCACUGUGCAAACACGAAAGUGGACGUAUACGGUGUGACGCCUGCCCGGUGCCGGAAGGUUAAUUGAUGGGGUCAGCGUAAGCGAAGCUCCUGAUCGAAGCCCCGGUAAACGGCGGCCGUAACUAUAACGGUCCUAAGGUAGCGAAAUUCCUUGUCGGGUAAGUUCCGACCUGCACGAAUGGCGUAAUGAUGGCCAGGCUGUCUCC